AAAAAGCUUCAAACUGGGAUUAGAUACCCCACUAUGCCUAGCCCUAAACAUUGAUAGUAAAAUACCCCUACUAUCCGCCUGGGAACUACGAGCAUUAGCUUGAAACCCAAAGGACUUGGCGGUGCUUUAGACCCACCUAGAGGAGCCUGUUCUAGAACCGAUUAUCCCCGUUCAACCUCACCUUUCCUUGUUUCCCCCGCCUAUAUACCACCGUCGUCAGCUUACCCUGUGAAGGGCCUAUAGUAAGCAAGAUUGGCACAGCCAAAACGUCAGGUCGAGGUGUAGCGUAUGGAAAGGGAAGAAAUGGGCUACAUUCCCUAGCAUUAAGGAACUACGAAUGAUUACACUGAAACACGUAUCUGAAGGAGGAUUUAGCAGUAAGCAGGAAAUAGAGCGUUCUGCUGAAACCGGCCCUGAAGCGCGCACACACCGCCCGUCACCCUCUGCAGUCA
RNAcentral lists this ribosomal RNA (452 nucleotides) under Lutjanus erythropterus (crimson snapper). RNAcentral describes it as "partial 12S ribosomal RNA". It matches the Rfam family "Bacterial small subunit ribosomal RNA", at positions 754 to 1413 of the family's 1533-position model. The record is from RNAcentral. Lineage: Eukaryota; Metazoa; Chordata; Actinopteri; Lutjaniformes; Lutjanidae. RNAcentral also lists the same sequence under 1 other name.